RNAcentral lists this ribosomal RNA (207 nucleotides) under uncultured bacterium. RNAcentral describes it as "partial 16S ribosomal RNA". It matches the Rfam family "Bacterial small subunit ribosomal RNA", at positions 568 to 774 of the family's 1533-position model. The record is from RNAcentral.
CACGUAGGCGGCUCGCUCAGUCGGGUGUGAAAGCCCACGGCCCAACCGUGGAACUGCACCCGAUACUGGCGAGCUCGAGGACGGAAGGGGUGAGUGGAACUCCAGGUGGAACGGUGAAAUGUAUAGAUAUCUGGAGGAACACCGGUGGCGAAAGCGGCUCACUGGUCCGUCUCUGACGCUGAGGUGCGAAAGCUAGGGUAGCGAACG